CGAUCCAAAUCCCCAUCGUUUCCGAUCGAUCUACUGUCCCUCGCCCAGUCUUGACUCCGUAUAAAUAGUCCCCUUACUCUCCUCUGCCGAUUUUGGCAAAUCCCUUCUCUCGUGCCUGUUUCACCUCGCCCGGAUCUCGCCGGAGUCCACCACCGCAGGAGCACCUCCACCACUCGAUUUCAUCGCCACAGAAGGGAAGCACCCACCCGAGUGCUUCGACCUCCGCCCCGACGAACAUCGCCGUCGCCGCUCUAGCCGAACCUCACCUACGUUAGCAGAAGGCCCGGUCAUCCCGGAGGAUGUUUUGGAGUUCGACAUGUCCCUCCUCGCCUCGUCCUAUUCUCCCCGAGCUCGGGAGGCCUCUCCAGCGACGCCAGCUUCAAAUCUGAGCCGUGCCGGCGCCGUCUCGUCAAUUCCGGCCGCAACUCUGUUCCUCUCUGAUUGUCCGGAGUGUG
Molecule: long non-coding RNA, 455 nt
Organism: Triticum aestivum (bread wheat)
Lineage: Eukaryota; Viridiplantae; Streptophyta; Magnoliopsida; Poales; Poaceae
Exons: 3
Source: RefSeq, a predicted model, not a curated record